GUUCGCGUCUGCUGUGAAAUCCCGAGGCUCAACCUCGGGCCUGCAGUGGGUACGGGCAGACUAGAGUGCGGUAGGGGAGAUUGGAAUUCCUGGUGUAGCGGUGGAAUGCGCAGAUAUCAGGAGGAACACCGAUGGCGAAGGCAGAUCUCUGGGCCGUAACUGACGCUGAGGAGCGAAAGGGUGGGGAGCAAACAGGCUUAGAUACCCUGGUAGUCCACCCCGUAAACGUUGGGAACUAGUUGUGGGGUCCAUUCCACGGAUUCCGUGACGCAGCUAACGCAUUAAGUUCCCCGCCUGGGGAGUACGGCCGCAAGGCUAAAACUCAAAGGAAUUGACGGGGACCCGCACAAGCGGCGGAGCAUGCGGAUUAAUUCGAUGCAACGCGAAGAACCUUACCAAGGCUUGACAUAUACGAGAACGGGCCAGAAAUGGUCAACUCUUUGGACACUCGUAAACAGGUGGUGCAUG
Molecule: ribosomal RNA, 468 nt
Filed under: Microbacterium paraoxydans
Lineage: Bacteria; Bacillati; Actinomycetota; Actinomycetes; Micrococcales; Microbacteriaceae
Description: bacterial SSU rRNA
Rfam family: Bacterial small subunit ribosomal RNA
Source: RNAcentral